GACGAACGCUGGCGGCGUGCUUAUCACAUGCAAGUCGAACGGAAAGGCCCUGCUUUUGUGGGGUGCUCGAGUGGCGAACGGGUGAGUAACACGUGAGUAACCUGCCCUUGACUUUGGGAUAACUUCAGGAAACUGGGGCUAAUACCGGAUAGGAGCUGCUGCUGCAUGGUGGGGGUUGGAAAGUUUCGGCGGUUGGGGAUGGACUCGCGGCUUAUCAGCUUGUUGGUGGGGUAGUGGCUUACCAAGGCAUUGACGGGUAGCCGGCCUGGGAGGGUUACCGGCCACAUUGGGACUGAAAUACGGCCCAGACUCCUACGGGAGGCAGCAGUGGAGAAUAUUGCACAAUAGGCGGAAGCCUGAUGCAGCAACGCCGCGUGCGGGAUGACGGCCUUCGGGUUGUAAACCGCUUUCGCCUGUGACGAAGCGUGAGUGACGGUAAUGGGUAAAGAAGCACCGGCUAACUACGUG
This 468-nucleotide ribosomal RNA is filed under the name uncultured bacterium. RNAcentral's name for it is "partial 16S ribosomal RNA". It matches the Rfam family "Bacterial small subunit ribosomal RNA", at positions 28 to 507 of the family's 1533-position model. The record is from RNAcentral.